RNAcentral lists this ribosomal RNA (500 nucleotides) under Hymenobacter gelipurpurascens. Its description in RNAcentral is "bacterial SSU rRNA". It matches the Rfam family "Bacterial small subunit ribosomal RNA", at positions 87 to 586 of the family's 1533-position model. Lineage: Bacteria; Pseudomonadati; Bacteroidota; Cytophagia; Cytophagales; Hymenobacteraceae. The record is from RNAcentral.
UAGAGAUAGUGGCGCACGGGUGCGUAACGCGUAACCAACCUGCCCUUGACUGGGGGAUAGCCCGCCGAAAGGCGGAUUAAUACCGCAUAAACUAGCAGCCUGGCAUCAGGCAACUAGUAAAGAUUUAUUGGUCAAGGAUGGGGUUGCGUGACAUUAGCUAGUUGGCGGGGUAACGGCCCACCAAGGCGACGAUGUCUAGGGGAGCUGAGAGGCUGAUCCCCCACACUGGCACUGAGAUACGGGCCAGACUCCUACGGGAGGCAGCAGUAGGGAAUAUUGGGCAAUGGGCGAGAGCCUGACCCAGCCAUGCCGCGUGCCGGAUGAAGGCCUUCUGGGUUGUAAACGGCUUUUCUCAGGGAAGAAAAAGACCAUGCGUGGUACACUGACGGUACCUGAGGAAUAAGCACCGGCUAACUCCGUGCCAGCAGCCGCGGUAAUACGGAGGGUGCAAGCGUUGUCCGGAUUUAUUGGGUUUAAAGGGUGCGUAGGUGGUUUGAUAA